UCGAGUUACCGCUCCUUAUAACCCUUUGUGAACAUACCCCAAACGUUGCCUCGGCGGGCAGCCGGAGCCCAGCUCCGUCGCCCGGAGCCGCCGUCUCGGCGCGCCCCACCCGCCGGCGGACCACCAAAUUCUAUUUAAACGACGUCUCUUCUGAGUGGCACAAGCAAAUAAUCA
Molecule: unclassified non-coding RNA, 174 nt
Filed under: uncultured Colletotrichum
Lineage: Eukaryota; Fungi; Ascomycota; Sordariomycetes; Glomerellales; Plectosphaerellaceae
Description: sequence contains ITS1
Source: RNAcentral